Long non-coding RNA from Numida meleagris (helmeted guineafowl), 1639 nucleotides. Lineage: Eukaryota; Metazoa; Chordata; Aves; Galliformes; Numididae. The record is from Ensembl.
UGUUCCAAUCCUUCCCCUCUCCUCUCCCCUUUUUCCUCCCAGGCAUGGAUGGUCAGCUUUUGGCCUGGUGCAGAGGCAGUGGUCAUGGUGGAUGGCAGGCCUGGCCUCCUCCAGGCUGGCUGCGCGACACUUCUUUGCUCUUGGGUGGGUAGAUGUUUUCCUGGUGGAUCCUCUUGAUUCCCCGUGGGUGGCCAUGAGUUCUUUUCUUUGUCUGUCCCCGGACGCAGCUGCCAUCGCGUUGUUGGUGCUGUUUCCUGCCCGAGAGGGAAUCCUGAGUGUUCUUCGCAGGAACAGUCCCUGCCUUUCCCAUUGGUCUCUGCUGUUUGCUGCUGCUUCGGCGGCCUUUCGGGGUCCUCUUGAGGAUGUGAACCAUCGGGGAGAUUAUCCAAAGUAGUCCAUCUUGCCUUUUCACCGAGACAUUUGUCCUUCUGCUGAGGUGCUGUGGCCGCCAGGGAGCGAGGUCUUCCUCAGCGUCUUGUGCAGCGUGUGGGCCUUGGGGGAUGGGAGCCAGAACCAGCAGCGGGUACGCGUGAGUUCUCCAAGGCUGGUGCUGCCAGGGGGUUUCUUUCUGCGGAUGGGAGGAUCUGGGUGGCGUUGCGCCUGGCACCAGGGCACCCACCCAAGCUGGCACAAGCCAAGGCCUGGAAGCCGGCACCAGGGCACCCAACCAAUCCGGCACAAGUGCACCCAACCAAGACAGAACCAUUGCACCUGCCAAGCCGGCACCAGUGCACCCAACCAAGAAGGCAUGAGGGCACCCACCCAAGCCGGCACCAGCAAAGGCCUUAAAGCUGGCAUCAGGGCACCCACCCAACCUGGCACGAGUGCAACCACUGAAGCCAGCACCAGGGCACCCAAACAAGCCGGCACCAGUGCACCUGCCAAGCCGGCACCAGUGCACCCAACCAAGAAGGCACCAGGGCACCCAAACAAGCUGGCACCAGUGCACUCAACCAAGCUGGCACCAGUGCACCCACCCAAGCCGGCACAAGUGCACCCACCCAGGAAGGCACCAGGGCACCUGCCCAAGAUGGCAGCAGGGUACACAACCAAACCGGCACAAGUGGACCCACCCAGGAAGGCACCAGGGCACCCAACCAAGCCGGCACCAUUGCACCCACCCAAGCAGGCACAGGGGCAUCCACCCAAGCCGGCACCAGUGCACCCACCCAAGCAGGCAACAGGGCACCUACCCAAGCCAGCACCAGAGCACCCAUACAAGCCAGCAACAGGACACCUACCGAAGCUGGAACAUGCCAAGGCCUGGAAGCCGGCACCAGGGAACCCACCCAAACCGGCACCAGGGCAUCCACCCAAGCUGGGACGAAUGUGCAAACCCAAGCCAGGACCAGGCCUCAAAACCGAGCCAGAACCAGUGCACCCACCCAGGCUGUCACCAGUGCACCUCCCAAGCCGGCACCAGUGUACCCACCCAAGCAGGCACCAGGGCACCCACACAAGCCAGCACAAGGACACCCACCCAAGCUGGAACCAGCCAAGGCCUGGAAGCUGGCACCAGGGCACCCACCCAAGCUGGGACGAGUGCACCCACCCAAGCCGGCAGCAGGCCUCAAAACCCAGCAAGAAGCAGUGCACCCACCCAGGCCGGCACCAGGGCACCCACCAAACCUGGCACUAG